Molecule: unclassified non-coding RNA, 310 nt
Filed under: plant metagenome
Description: partial contains 5.8S ribosomal RNA, internal transcribed spacer 2, and large subunit ribosomal RNA
Rfam family: 5.8S ribosomal RNA (bases 1-105)
Source: RNAcentral
GAAAUGCGAUAAGUAGUGUGAAUUGCAGAAUUUAGCGAAUCAUCGAAUCUUUGAACGCUCAUUGCGCCCCUUGGUAUUCCAUGGGGCAUGCCUGUUCGAGCGUCAUUUGUACCCUCAAGCUCUGCUUGGUGUUGGGUGUUUGUCCCCGUCUCCGCGCGUGGACUCGCCCCAAAGUGAUUGGCAGCCGGCGUACUGGUCCCGGAGCGCAGCACAUGUCGCGCAAACGAGUGCCUUGGUACGGCGGCGUCCAUAAGCCCCUCUCUCACGCUCUUGACCUCGGAUCAGGUAGGGAUACCCGCUGAACUUAAGC